GAUGAAGAACGUAGCGAAAUGCGAUAAGUAAUGUGAAUUGCAGAAUUCAGUGAAUCAUCGAAUCUUUGAACGCACAUUGCGCCCCCUGGUAUUCCGGGGGGCAUGCCUGUCCGAGCGUCAUUACAACCCUCAAGCUCAGCUUGGUGUUGGGCCCCGCCGCCCCGGCGGGCCCUAAAGUCAGUGGCGGUGCCGUCCGGCUCCGAGCGUAGUAAUUCUUCUCGCUCUGGAGGUCCGGUCGUGUGCUCGCCAGCAACCCCCAAUUUUUUUCAGGUUGACCUCGGAUCAGGUAGGGAUACCCGCUGAACUUAAGCAUAUCAAAAGCGGAGGA
This 328-nucleotide unclassified non-coding RNA is filed under the name soil metagenome. RNAcentral's name for it is "partial contains 5.8S ribosomal RNA, internal transcribed spacer 2, and large subunit ribosomal RNA". The stretch from base 1 to 120 matches the Rfam family "5.8S ribosomal RNA", at positions 35 to 154 of the family's 154-position model. The record is from RNAcentral.